This 253-nucleotide ribosomal RNA is filed under the name uncultured bacterium. Its description in RNAcentral is "partial 16S ribosomal RNA". It matches the Rfam family "Bacterial small subunit ribosomal RNA", at positions 524 to 776 of the family's 1533-position model. The record is from RNAcentral.
UACGGGGGGGGCAAGCGUUGUUCGGAAUUACUGGGCGUAAAGGGCUCGUAGGCGGCCAACUAAGUCAGACGUGAAAUCCCUCGGCUUAACCGGGGAACUGCGUCUGAUACUGGAAGGCUUGAGUUCGGGAGAGGGAUGUGGAAUUCCAGGUGUAGCGGUGAAAUGCGUAGAUAUCUGGAGGAACACCGGUGGCGAAGGCGGCAUCCUGGACCGAAACUGACACUGAGGCGCGAAAGCCAGGGGAGCAAACGGG